Non-coding RNA from Paramuricea clavata, 2716 nucleotides. The record is from the annotation of a GenBank genome assembly. Lineage: Eukaryota; Metazoa; Cnidaria; Anthozoa; Malacalcyonacea; Plexauridae.
GAUUUUUAGGGUUUUAGAUCGAUUAGAAACGGUUGUCGUCGUGAAAUUUGUCGGUAAAAUCAGCGCAUAUUUUCCCAGACAAAAUGGCGAUUUAGGGUGGUCGUGUUAAAACGGCAUUUUCUCAAAGUUAAAAAAGCAUUUGGCCAAAAAAAAUAUAUGGUGCAUUUUCCGAUAUAAUAAGGUAUAUCUGGGCAAAAUUUGAGCAAAAUCGAUUUUUCAGUCGUGGCCGCGAAAUAUCUCAUAUGUUCGAUUUUUACUGACAUUCACUCUUAAGCCCUUGGGAUUCACAAGACCAGCUGCUUUAGAAGUAACAAAGGAACGAUGACUUCCCGCAUCAAAGAGAACCCGCACCUUAGCCACCCUUUCACCCCUUAAAACCCCGCGUGCAGUUUGCAAGGCAACCAGGCUACCAGUUCCCACAUGCAAGUUACUACUGGAACUAGUCACAUGCACAUUAUUAUUAACAGGGACCUGUUUAGAUUCUUCGUCAGGUUCGACUGUUUUGUCAUGUUUAUCGUCUUUUUUAGGGCUUGCAUCACAUAAUGCAACAUGAUGUGCCCCAUAGACCAAUUGCGAAACUUAGUGACCGCGCCUUCAACUGCACGAAAACGAGGCUUAUUAUGCAAAAACAAAUCAUUCUGCUAUAUUUUUGUAUGGCGAAAAACGAAUUUCAGUGUUUGAGACGCGUUUUUAUGGUAAUCUCUUCAUUUUUUUCAAUAUUUUUGUUUUGACUAUUAGGCCAUGGGCCAAGUGCCGAAAAUGUGACUUUUGAAUACGCACCUUGGGGAACCAAAAAAUUUUUUCAAUAACUAUUAGCACAUGUAUUUUAGAACAAAAUUAUGUGGUAUGCCAAUCGUGAGUCUUGCACAUUAAUGAGAAAAAUCAACUGCUUUCUUGACUAAUUUUAGACUAAUUUGUAUGAAUCCACUGAAUACUUUGUUUCAAAUACACAGCAUGUUUAUAUCUCUUAACCAAUCAACAUGGGUUUUGCCCAGCGAUAAACCAAUCAGAUAAGUGUAUCAUGUUUCAGUCGCAACAAAGACUAGUUGUAAACAAAUAUGGCGUCCGUCGGCGAAGGCAGACCGCCAGGGAAAGAUUUUUGCAUUAUAUGCAUAUAAUAAAUAAUGCAAGAGGAAAAUUAACGUAUUUUACAUAUACAUCAUGGUGCAAUUUUGUGAUAUUCGCAGCAAAGUGGAAGAAAUUUAUUUGUAAAGAGGGCGCAAUCGCACAUGAUUCGGAGGCGAAACUUGACUUGCGUCUCGAUUCACAGUGUGAGACAACGCACACAGAUAAUGCUAAGAGUUUUCUGCCAACACCAGCCUACUGCAAAUUUCGUCGGGAGUGCUGCAACAGGUUUUGUAACAAACAGAAGGUCGAAAGGGAAGAAAGAAUACACGCUAUAAGGGACGAGAAUGCCAAAAAAUGUAAGAGAGGAUUGUUGAGAAUUGUGCAAAAUAUUGUGGUGUUUUAUUACAAAGAACCGAAAUAUAAUCAAGUUAGGUAUUCAAUCAGCUCAGAUACGUCCUAAAUUCUUAAAGAAUGUCAUGGAAGUCUGUUUAGUAUUAUUGAGUUAAAGUUUCACUAUAUUUUAGUGAUACUAAUGUUAACAUGGUUAUUUUUUAUUAUUACAAAUGUAUUAAAACAAAUUCAAAAGUAUGCAUUUCGGCACUUUGUCUUUAAAUACAUACUUUCAGCUGAGUUUUAUUACCAGAACAUAUGUAUGACUACAAUGUGUUUCAAAAAUUAUAUUUUCAGUGUUUAAUAAUCCAUACAAACAACAAACUUAUGCCUAUGUAGGUUUUGUCUAAAUGUUGUUUUCCACCACUGUUAUAGUUAGUUUAAUGACCCAAUGUAUAAGGGUUGCAGCAUUCAAUACAUUAUAUGUCAUAUGUAUAUCUUUGUAAUAAAUUAUAAUUGAGUAAUACUGUACACCCUCCAGUAAGAUAGAUACUGUUGAAAGGGGGAGGGGGGCUUUUAGACUAAAUAGGAAUGCACAUUGAUUGACGGAUGGAACCCAAUAGCAAAUGCAGGGGGUGGUUACUGAAGGGUUUCUGGUAAACAGUAUUUAAAUCAAAUUGAACAGUAUUUGAUGGUUCUUGUAUUCAAUACCUAAAUACAGGCACCCCCAUCACAUCCUAUAAAGAAAACAUGGUGAUUAACCAACUUGUAAUAAAUAAAAAUUGUUAUGCAUAUUUGAAAAAUAAUACUGAUUAAAUAGAGAAUAAAGAUUCAUUUCAGCACCAUCUUACAAACUGUUACAGUUGAAAUUGUUGUUUGUUUUGUUAAAAAAAACUUGUGCGCUUAAUUUAUAUUACAGGUGUAUGUACCACAGAAUACCACACAAAUUUACAUGUUCUAUAUCCUUUGUCAAAUGCAUAUAACAUAGCCUGUUAAAUAUUUUUUAGUAUAGUUUUUAAUUAUUUCUUCUUCCUGUUGGGUUUUGGUUAGAUUUGGCAUAUUCUAUUAUUUUUUAAAUUGGACAUUCUGUGGAUAAAAUCCUAAUGUACCACAGAAUACCAGUGCGGAAAUAAGUAAGGAACGGUUUAUCAAAUUGUACGAGGAUUUGGUGUGUCAUGUGUGAUAACACUGCACAGAUAUUGCUAACUUAAUUUAGUGGAAGGUUAAUACUAAAAUCACUACAGAAUACCAGUGGUAUGUACCACAGUAUAUUAGGUUUACCAAUAAUUUUGAAAAAUUGAGGGUUUUUUUGUAAAUU